GACGAACGCUGGCGGCGUGCUUAACACAUGCAAGUCGAACGGAAAGGCCCUGCUUUUGUGGGGUGCUCGAGUGGCGAACGGGUGAGUAACACGUGAGUAACCUGCCCUUGACUUUGGGAUAACUUCAGGAAACUGGGGCUAAUACCGGAUAGGAGCUCCUGCUGCAUGGUGGGGGUUGGAAAGUUUCGGCGGUUGGGGAUGGACUCGCGGCUUAUCAGCUUGUUGGUGGGGUAGUGGCUUACCAAGGCUUUGACGGGUAGCCGGCCUGAGAGGGUGACCGGCCACAUGGGGACUGAGAUACGGACCAGACGCCUACGGGAGGCAGCAGGGGGGAAUAUUGCACAAUGGGCGGAAGCCUGAUGCAGCAACGCCGCGUGCGGGAUGACGGCCUUCGGGUUGUAAACCGCUUUCGCCUGUGACGAAGCGUGAGUGACGGUAAUGGGUAAAGAAGCACCGGCUAACUACGUG
This 468-nucleotide ribosomal RNA is filed under the name uncultured bacterium. Its description in RNAcentral is "partial 16S ribosomal RNA". It matches the Rfam family "Bacterial small subunit ribosomal RNA", at positions 28 to 507 of the family's 1533-position model. The record is from RNAcentral.